GCGUGCAAGGGAGCACUCUUCCCCUGUGUGCUCCCUCUUCAGCUCCCUCGCGCACUGCACUGAUACUGGAGCCGUCAUCUUCCGGCUCCUGCAUCAGUACGUGGUGCGCGAGGGAGAUGAAAAGGGUGCACACGGGGGAGAGUGCUCCCUCCUGCGC
This is a non-coding RNA of Pelobates cultripes (western spadefoot toad), 157 nucleotides long. The record is from the annotation of a GenBank genome assembly. NCBI's taxonomy places the organism in Eukaryota, Metazoa, Chordata, Amphibia, Anura, Pelobatidae.